GGAGUUCACAUGGACAGAACGGUUACACAACUGCCCCAUCUUGCGAACACAUUGCCCAUCCCAGAGAAUGGGGGAGCCAGAGCAAUUACCCAGUUGGUGGAAACUGAUCAUGGACAUUUGAUUAUAGUUAUUAAUGGGGACAACGGGAGACAGACCGCUGAGCGGCAGGCUAGCGCUAAGUGAAUGUGUAUGAGAUUCCUGGAGGGGGAUUAAUUUCUGUUUGCUUUUCAUCUCUCAGCUACCAUCUAAAUGUGACACUGAGUCUAAGCCUGGCCUGUCACAGCCUUAUCAGUAUUCAGUGCCUUGCAUGCUGGUCACAUUAUCUCCGCUGGAUGUACCAAACGAGGGGUCUCUUGCUGUGGAGAUCUUUUUCCUCUGAUUCUAAUGCGGGACUAGGGUUAGCUAGUGACCGGCUUUUCAGGGGAGAAACGUACCUUGUAAUGUCAGAAAGACGUUCUUCAAGCAAAUAUUUGCCUCUCUGUGUGUUUCCCACUGGCAUUGAGCACACAGUUCCUAAUCUGGAGGGUGCACAGACUAUCCUCAAGCUUUCAGCUCCAUCAGAGGACGCUGGGCUUUUUCUGCAUCUCAGCUACGAGAGCUCCAGCUCUUCAGGUGGAAAUCAAAGGACAACUUGAAGAAAUCGGUUCUCUCCUUCUACCACGUAAGUCUCAAGGGUCAAACUCAGGUCAUCAGGCUCCAUGUGAGAGCUUCUACUGAACAAGCCAUCUCACUGGUCUGGGGAUUUUUUUUUUCUUUAGCAUAGCUAAGGGAUUGGAGAAACAGCUCAGUGGGUGAACUGCUUGCUGCACAGGUCCCCAGCACCCACAUGAAAAGCCAAGUGUGCGGAUACACGCCAGUGCUCUCGUACACAGAGCAUAGCCGAGUUUGGGAUGAAUGAGGCUAAGGAGUUCUUUGCGGCUUGAGGAGGGAUCUAGCACUCCAUGCUGGUGUGACAUUAAGCUGUAAUGGUGCAGAGCCUGGUGUGUUUGCACCUGACUCAUCCCUCAUCAUAGAUGCUCUCAUAGCAGCCGCAGGACACAGGCAGGCGGCAGGGACAGGAAGGAGAGACAGGUGGGGGGGGGGGAGUGGGAGCAGACUGACUCUGAACCCCGUGGCAAUGCUACAUCAACCAUGUGCUUCCUGUGGCUGUGGCUCAGACUCACCAGUGAGAGCAGGGGAGAGCAGUCACUGGCAGUCUUGGAAAUGCCCACCUUCUAGAGGGAGGGUCUGAGAACCUCCCCCCGCCCCCCCCCCAGAAGCAGAGACUUUAGAACCCAUCUGUCUGGAGGUCACAGGUUCAUGGCAUGUUGUCAAAUUAAACUAUCAUGCAAUCUCAACACGCCCUGG
RNAcentral lists this long non-coding RNA (1347 nucleotides) under Mus pahari (shrew mouse). RNAcentral's name for it is "lncRNA (MGP_PahariEiJ_G0003071.1)". Lineage: Eukaryota; Metazoa; Chordata; Mammalia; Rodentia; Muridae. The record is from RNAcentral.